AACCCUUUUUGUUGGUUGGUUGUAGCAUAAUAUUCUUAUGCACCGACUUUUAAAAGAGACCACCAAAACUCUACUUGUGGAUACUCUUAUAGUAUUAAGCAUCCUAUCCCAUUAAUAGGCGCUUGAAUACCAGAUAUUUAUUUGAAAUAACCCAAGAUAUAUGAGGUUGUGAAUGAGGUUUACAGAAUAGAGAAUAAUGCCCCUCCCCCCCCCCCAAAAAAAAAAAAGAGAAAAAAGAGAGAGAAUAUAAAGUAAAGUUGACAAAAUAACUAAACUCUGCGUUUUCUGCAUACCAAAUUAAAUAUUGAUAUACGUAUAUCAUUUGGAAUGAAAUGUUGAACUGGUCCUUAUCAGAACUGGUUCCUCAGACUGGUUCAAUGAUUU
RNAcentral lists this long non-coding RNA (384 nucleotides) under Mytilus galloprovincialis (Mediterranean mussel). The record is from RNAcentral. Lineage: Eukaryota; Metazoa; Mollusca; Bivalvia; Mytilida; Mytilidae.